Molecule: RNA transcript, 2675 nt
Organism: Topomyia yanbarensis
Lineage: Eukaryota; Metazoa; Arthropoda; Insecta; Diptera; Culicidae
Gene: Gnptab
Gene name: N-acetylglucosamine-1-phosphotransferase subunits alpha/beta
Exons: 5
Source: RefSeq, a predicted model, not a curated record
UAGCUCAUUUUGUGCUUCCUUCGUUCCACAAUUAUUAUGUAUUUAAUAUCUUCCAAACAGUGUUAACGAACAGAAUGAGCUUUCCGUUCUUUUGGCCAUAGCAAGUGCUUCAGAUCUAGUCACAAUGUUCAUAAGGUACAAUACAUUAUCGUUGAAUAUCUGGAAUUCGCGAAACGUUUUGUCCGAUUGCUGCUGCUCCCGUCAUGAGACUUUGCUUUCUUCCACGACUAGCCGGCACGAUCCGGUUUCGUUGUUGCUGUCUAGUAACAGUUCUGGCACUGAUAACCUUCCUGUAUCUUUUGGUGAAUAUGAUUAUAGCGCAUUCGAGAAAGAAUCAGUGCACAACAUGCUACGAAAUUAUUGACGUUGUGUACACAUGGGUUAAUGGAAGCGAUCAACAGUUUUUGGACAAAAUUGCUCACUAUUCAGAAGCGCCGGACAAAGCUCGCUACGAUGAUAAGAAUGAAUUGAAAUAUUCCCUCAGAUCUCUGGAAAAAUACGCACCCUGGAUCAGGCACGUGUAUAUUGUGACAAACGGUCAGAUUCCUUUUUGGCUUGACCUUGAUAAUGCAAAAGUGCAGUUAAUUCAACACGCGGAUAUUGCCGACGAUGAUACGGUGCUUCCAACAUUCUCCAGCUCUGCAAUCGAAACGCUAAUACACCGAAUACCGGGGCUUUCGAAAAACUUUCUUUAUCUGAACGACGAUAUUUUCCUAGGCGCUCCGCUGUUUCCUGACGAUCUCCUAACCCUAUCGGAAGGAGUGAAAGUGUUUACGGCUUGGCUGGUGCCAGAUUGUGCACCGGACUGUCCGUGGAUGUUUGUAGGCGAUGGUUCCUGCGAUAGCCACUGUUACCUGGAAGAGUGCCAGUUCGAUGGUGGUGACUGUGAUCAUUCCGAUUAUAUCGAACACGAUCAUGAACCUAAAGAUGAGGAUUACCCACCUGUAACAGAGGGCGGGGAAGCUUUCGUCGAUGUUCCUAAAAGGCUUCCUCGGGGAGCAAAAAAAUCGGAAAACAUUCGGGAUAUCUACGAGAUUUUUGUUCAAUCUAAUUUAUCUUCCACGAAGCAGCUGGUAGAUAAAUUCAACAGGGAGAAGAUGAAAAGUAAUAAGGUUAGCUCUAAGAAGAGUUCCGCGAGGAACGAUGGGGAUGAACAUGAAGAGAAAAGUGAAGAGGCUAUGACAAAGUCGCAGGAUAUUUUUGCACACUCGCUAAUUCAUACCAAUAAAAUUUUCAACAAAGUUUACGGGUUUAAGAAUAGAAAAGUACUGGCUCACGUUGGCUUCCUGCUAAAUGUGGAUAUUGUGGAAGCUAUGCUCAGACGGUUCAGAACUGAAUUUAUUGUUACGAAAAACCAUCGUUUUAGAGAGAAAGAUGAUCUACAAUAUGCUUUCACAUACUAUCAUUUCUUGAUGAGUGAAAGCAGGAACAAAAGCGUUUCAGAGAUAUUUGAUGAUUUCGACACUGAUAACUCAGGAACUUGGUCAGAUCGAGAAAUUCGUACGUUGUUGGCAAAAAUUUACAACUUACCACUGGAUUGGUCUGCAGUACGGUACUUUGAGGAAGUAGUUACCAAUUGCUCUCUACAGCAGAACAAUUUUGUACCACUGGAGCAUCAACUUGACCAGCGACAUAUUUAUCCGACAUUAGUUUAUGAGCGCUACGAAGAUUCCACAAUUCCUAUGGUGACCAAAAACCUAGUUCUUCGGUGCCACGAGCUAACCGACAUGAUGCGAGCCAACUUUGGACAGGUACCCCUGUACCGAUUCCACAUCAACCAGAAAACGGGCAUCUACAGUAAUUUUAAAAUGCUAACGUCCAACAUUACCCAGGUGGUAGAUGCACUGGACGAGUUACGUAAGAAUCCUAAAAAGUUCAACUGCAUUAACGACAACCUCACCGAGGACAACCCGGAAGAAAACCAACUGAUCUCAGCUCUGUUGGAAGAUUUCUACCUUUCGCUAUUCCCAGCACGGAGCCAGUUUGAGCUGGAGAAUAACUAUCGUAACAGAUUUCACUACUACGACGAAUACCGGGCCUGGCUAGACCGGAAAAGGCUGAUUCGGAAUGCAGUGUACGGUGUGUGUCUGCUGAUUUUUCUCGUUUGCGCUAAGAUGCUCUGCUUUCGGCACAAGGGGAAAUUUGCGCGAACGCUGGUGUUAUUUGGAAGCCGGGCGGAUUACAGUACGAUCUGAUCGAUGAAUCGGAAAGUUUUUGAUGCAAUAAUACUAACAUACUCAAGCUAGAUAAAAUGUUUUUAUUUAUUUUACUGCGCAAGUGUAUAUUUGGACAAAAAGGAUUUUCGCGUUUUCAUUUCGAUAUGUAAUCUCCAGUCACCUGGUAAAGCGUUGUUAAACACAGCAAACUAGUACGAAUUAGGGUAGUCAGUGACAUUGGACAUCUACAACCUUUAUCCGUCGCUUAGUAUAUUAAAAGUUUGGUUGUCAUCUCAAUGAAAGUGUUGAAUUUAAAUUUGCUAAUAAAUUGCUAAAUUUGUCCAUCGGCAACACUGGUAUACGCACGUAACAUGGUUAAAAAGAAAUUUUAAACAGGAAAGCGGCUGGUCAAGAAAGCUACUGUUUCACGCAAGGAGUCAAAUUUGAUUACUUUCGUGUCAUGUACCCAAAUGACGGGUGUAAUUUAGUACAGUUAAUAAUAAGUAAGGAUAAGUAAAA